Molecule: transfer RNA, 75 nt
Filed under: Pseudomonadota bacterium
Lineage: Bacteria; Pseudomonadati; Pseudomonadota
Also listed under: 3 other names
Description: tRNA-Ile
Rfam family: tRNA
About the family: Transfer RNA (tRNA) molecules are approximately 80 nucleotides in length.
Source: RNAcentral
GGGCACGUAGCUCAGCGGCAGAGCAGCAGUCUUAUAAACUGCAGGACGCGGGUUCGAGUCCCGCCGUGCCUACCA